AGUGAACGCUGGCGGCGUGCCUAAUACAUGCAAGUCGAACGGUAACAGGAAGUAGCUUGCUACUUUGCUGAUUAGUGGCGCACGGGUGAGUAAUGCAUAGGUCAUGUGCCCCAUAGUCUGGGAUAGCAACGGGAAACGGUGAUGAAUACUGGAUACUCCCGAGAGGGGAAAGUUUUUCGCUAUGGGAUCAGCCUAUGUCCUAUCAGCUUGUUGGUGAGGUAAUGGCUCACCAAGGCUAUGACGGGUAUCCGGCCUGAGAGGGUGAACGGACACACUGGAACUGGGACACGGUCCAGACUCCUACGGGAGGCAGCAGUAGGGAAUAUUGCUCAAUGGGGGAAACCCUGAAGCAGCAACGCCGCGUGAAGGAUGAAGGUCUUCGGAUUGUAAACUCCUUUUCUAAGAGAAGAUUAUGACGGUAUCUUAGGAAUAAGCACCGGCUAACUCCGUG
This 451-nucleotide ribosomal RNA is filed under the name uncultured bacterium. RNAcentral describes it as "partial 16S ribosomal RNA". It matches the Rfam family "Bacterial small subunit ribosomal RNA", at positions 29 to 507 of the family's 1533-position model. The record is from RNAcentral.